Molecule: small nuclear RNA, 18 nt
Filed under: Arabidopsis thaliana (thale cress)
Lineage: Eukaryota; Viridiplantae; Streptophyta; Magnoliopsida; Brassicales; Brassicaceae
Description: snRNA_10641
Source: RNAcentral
UAGCGAACAAGUACCGCG